UGUCUCCAAAUCUUCAGUCAGUCUGUUGCACCCAACAACCUCAUGUCAGUGAUGUGUGAAAAGAAUGAAGGUAAAACAGAGGCACCUGUCCAUGGGACAAGUUGGAGGAGGCAAGAUGUCAGCCUUUUGAGAGUGAAUCAAGAAUUUGGAUGGAGGAGGAAUUCAGUUGCCCAGGAAACUACCCAUCAGAAGAGAUCUCUGAGAAGAUACACAAGGAAAUUCGUCACUUGGCCAUUAGCAGCCUGCAGAUCCAGAGUUCUACCAGAUCUCUUCCAAAAUGAGAUCUGUCUCACAGGCGGGCGAUUCUGUGGCGAUCACUGCGGAUCUCCUUACUUCCGUGCUGAAGCGGCGAUCCCUUGAAAUGCGGCCGUCUUUCCGGGAGCGACGUUCAUCCGGUCCCUGUACUCCAAGCCCCACCAUUGGGCGCCAAUAUGCCCUGGCCUGCGGGGUCAUUCAACAGGGACCUGGAGGAGGGAAUGGAUGAAUGGAUGGGACAAGAGACACAAAGAAUGAGAGCAAGACAGGAGGUCUGAUCAAGCUCUAACGUUUAUUCAAGGAGGCUGAUUAUAUACACAAGCAAGGGGGGAAGAAAGAUGCACGUGAAGGAAGGAAUGCAGUGGGAAACACAAGGUAUCAGGGACCUGCUAACAAAUGUUGACACAUGGUAAUCUCAGUUCCUGGGACCAACAGGUAUUUACGACUCUCCACGACUCUCCAGGAACUAACAGUUAUUUAUGACCCGUUUGCUGCUUAUCUAGCUGUAACAUUCCACCAGAGUUAGUUAAUACUGUUUUAACUUUUCCACCAGAGUUCUUUAACUCUUUCCUUGGCUCCUGGCAUCUCGCAAACAUAAUGUUGAAUGAAAGGAACCAGACAGAAAAGAAUUAUGUAUUGUUUGGUCCCAUUUAUUUAAAGUUCAGAACCAGACAAAAUGAAUCCAUGGUUUAAAAGUUGGGAUAUUGGCAACCUUGACAAGAGUAGGUGACAGGGUGUUCAUGUGAGGGGCCCUUUUAUGAUGUUAGUGAAACCUAUUUCUUGAUCUUGGUGAUUACACAUGGGUCUGUUUACUUUGAAAAUUCAUCAAGCUAUGUACUUAUGACUUGUGCACGUUUUAAAAUGUUAGGCUUUCAUGAAAAAUUAAUUCUAAAAAAAACUACUUUUUAAGCAGUGGAAAUAAGAUUAAAAUAAUCAACAAGUUUAGAAAAUUCUUGGAAUUUAGAAAAGUAUAAGAUGUGUCAAUAUUAGCAUUUAAUGCAUAAAUAAAUCACUGCUUUUAUGCA
Suricata suricatta (meerkat) is the source of this 1280-nucleotide long non-coding RNA. RefSeq lists it as uncharacterized. NCBI's taxonomy places the organism in Eukaryota, Metazoa, Chordata, Mammalia, Carnivora, Herpestidae. The transcript has 4 exons. The record is from RefSeq and is a predicted model, not a curated record.